RNAcentral lists this ribosomal RNA (301 nucleotides) under uncultured bacterium. RNAcentral describes it as "partial 16S ribosomal RNA". It matches the Rfam family "Bacterial small subunit ribosomal RNA", at positions 509 to 807 of the family's 1533-position model. The record is from RNAcentral.
CAGCCGCCGCGGGAAAACGUAGGUGGCAAGCGUUGUCCGGAAUUAUUGGGCGUAAAGGGCUCGCAGGCGGUUUCUUAAGUCUGAUGUGAAAGCCCCCGGCUCAACCGGGGAGGGUCAUUGGAAACUGGGAAACUUGAGUGCAGAAGAGGAGAGUGGAAUUCCACGUGUAGCGGUGAAAUGCGUAGAGAUGUGGAGGAACACCAGUGGCGAAGGCGACUCUCUGGUCUGUAACUGACGCUGAGGAGCGAAAGCGUGGGGAGCGAACAGGAUUAGAUACCCCAGUAGUCCCUGUCUCUUAUAC